This 486-nucleotide ribosomal RNA is filed under the name uncultured bacterium. RNAcentral describes it as "partial 16S ribosomal RNA". It matches the Rfam family "Bacterial small subunit ribosomal RNA", at positions 30 to 507 of the family's 1533-position model. The record is from RNAcentral.
AUUGAACGCUGGCGGCAUGCCUUACACAUGCAAGUCGAACGGCAGCACGGGUGCUUGCCCCUGGUGGCGAGUGGCGAACGGGUGAGUAAUACAUCGGAACAUGUCCUGUAGUGGGGGAUAGCCCGGCGAAAGCCGGAUUAAUACCGCAUACGAUCCACGGAUGAAAGCGGGGGCCCUUCGGGCCUCGCGCUAUCGGGUUGGCCGAUGGCUGAUUAGCUAGUUGGUGGGGUAAAGGCCUACCAAGGCGACGAUCAGUAGCUGGUCUGAGAGGACGACCAGCCACACUGGGACUGAGACACGGCCCAGACUCCUAAGGGAGGCAGCAGUGUGGAAUUUUGGACAAUGGGCGAAAGCCUGAUCCAGCAAUGCCGCGUGUGUGAAGAAGGCCUUCGGGUUGUAAAGCACUUUUGUCCGGAAAGAAAUCCUUGACUCUAAUACAGUCGGGGGAUGACGGUACCGGAAGAAUAAGCACCGGCUAACUACGUG